This 1430-nucleotide ribosomal RNA is filed under the name Lactiplantibacillus plantarum. RNAcentral's name for it is "bacterial SSU rRNA". It matches the Rfam family "Bacterial small subunit ribosomal RNA". The record is from RNAcentral. Lineage: Bacteria; Bacillati; Bacillota; Bacilli; Lactobacillales; Lactobacillaceae. RNAcentral also lists the same sequence under 1 other name.
GCAGUCGAACGAACUCUGGUAUUGAUUGGUGCUUGCAUCAUGAUUUACAUUUGAGUGAGUGGCGAACUGGUGAGUAACACGUGGGAAACCUGCCCAGAAGCGGGGGAUAACACCUGGAAACAGAUGCUAAUACCGCAUAACAACUUGGACCGCAUGGUCCGAGCUUGAAAGAUGGCUUCGGCUAUCACUUUUGGAUGGUCCCGCGGCGUAUUAGCUAGAUGGUGGGGUAACGGCUCACCAUGGCAAUGAUACGUAGCCGACCUGAGAGGGUAAUCGGCCACAUUGGGACUGAGACACGGCCCAAACUCCUACGGGAGGCAGCAGUAGGGAAUCUUCCACAAUGGACGAAAGUCUGAUGGAGCAACGCCGCGUGAGUGAAGAAGGGUUUCGGCUCGUAAAACUCUGUUGUUAAAGAAGAACAUAUCUGAGAGUAACUGUUCAGGUAUUGACGGUAUUUAACCAGAAAGCCACGGCUAACUACGUGCCAGCAGCCGCGGUAAUACGUAGGUGGCAAGCGUUGUCCGGAUUUAUUGGGCGUAAAGCGAGCGCAGGCGGUUUUUUAAGUCUGAUGUGAAAGCCUUCGGCUCAACCGAAGAAGUGCAUCGGAAACUGGGAAACUUGAGUGCAGAAGAGGACAGUGGAACUCCAUGUGUAGCGGUGAAAUGCGUAGAUAUAUGGAAGAACACCAGUGGCGAAGGCGGCUGUCUGGUCUGUAACUGACGCUGAGGCUCGAAAGUAUGGGUAGCAAACAGGAUUAGAUACCCUGGUAGUCCAUACCGUAAACGAUGAAUGCUAAGUGUUGGAGGGUUUCCGCCCUUCAGUGCUGCAGCUAACGCAUUAAGCAUUCCGCCUGGGGAGUACGGCCGCAAGGCUGAAACUCAAAGGAAUUGACGGGGGCCCGCACAAGCGGUGGAGCAUGUGGUUUAAUUCGAAGCUACGCGAAGAACCUUACCAGGUCUUGACAUACUAUGCAAAUCUAAGAGAUUAGACGUUCCCUUCGGGGACAUGGAUACAGGUGGUGCAUGGUUGUCGUCAGCUCGUGUCGUGAGAUGUUGGGUUAAGUCCCGCAACGAGCGCAACCCUUAUUAUCAGUUGCCAGCAUUAAGUUGGGCACUCUGGUGAGACUGCCGGUGACAAACCGGAGGAAGGUGGGGAUGACGUCAAAUCAUCAUGCCCCUUAUGACCUGGGCUACACACGUGCUACAAUGGAUGGUACAACGAGUUGCGAACUCGCGAGAGUAAGCUAAUCUCUUAAAGCCAUUCUCAGUUCGGAUUGUAGGCUGCAACUCGCCUACAUGAAGUCGGAAUCGCUAGUAAUCGCGGAUCAGCAUGCCGCGGUGAAUACGUUCCCGGGCCUUGUACACACCGCCCGUCACACCAUGAGAGUUUGUAACACCCAAAGUCGGUGGGGUAACCUUUUAGGAACCAGC